This 1242-nucleotide small RNA is filed under the name Pan troglodytes (chimpanzee). RNAcentral describes it as "retained intron". Lineage: Eukaryota; Metazoa; Chordata; Mammalia; Primates; Hominidae. The record is from RNAcentral.
UCAUCUUUGCCCGGCGGCUGGCGGGCAGGCUGCUACAACCUCCACUUAGUCUACCCCAGCUGCAGGCUGUAAUGUUGGGGGAGCUGCCACAUCCUGAAGGAUGAAAAAUAAAUCACGCUUCUUCUGUCGUGUUCUAUUUCUAGGCUUAGAGGAAAAGGGAGAAGAAUUUGCUCGCAUGCUUACGGAGCUUCUCUUUGAAUUACAUGUGGCGGCCACACCUGACAAACUCAAUAAGGCCAUGAAGAGGGCUCAUGACUGGGUGGAAGAGGAUCAAACCGUGGUGUCAGUAGAUGUGGCAAAAGUGUCCGAAGAAGAAACAAAGAAGGAAGAACAGGAAGAGAAAUCUCAAGACCCUCAAGAAGACAAAAAGGAGGAAAAGAAAACUAAGACCAUAGAGGAAGUAUACAUGUUGUCCAUUGAAAGUCUGGCGGAGGUAACAGCGCGCUGUAUUGAGCAGCUUCAUAAAGUAGCAGAAUUAAUUCUUCAUGGACAAGAAGAGGAAAAACCAGCUCAGGACCAAGCAAAAGUUCUAAUAAAAUUAACUACUGCAAUGUGCAAUGAAGUGGCCUCCUUAUCAAAGAAGUUUACGAAUUCUUUAACCACUGUUGGGAGCAACAAGAAGGCUGAGGUCCUUAACCCCAUGAUCAGUAGUGUAUUGUUAGAGGGCUGCAACAGUACAACGUACAUACAGGAUGCCUUCCAGCUGCUGCUGCCUGUUCUGCAGGUCUCACAUAUCCAGACCAGUUGUUUGAAAGCACAGCCGUGACCUGGCCAGACUCCAUCUAGUUAAAGGAGACAGCUGGCCGCCUUGCCUCAAUAUAUACCAUUUAAGGGGAUGUUCUCUGUGCGCCUGGCCACAGACAUCCAUUUGAGGACACUACAAGCAAUUUUGCACAGACAAUAUUGAGAAUGCAAAUUUAAAGAGAGUUAUCAUUUCUCUCAAUGUGUAUAAUUGUUUUUACAAACAAUUGUGUUUUCUUUAUGUUAAUUUAAACUUACACAGCUUAUAUUGAAAAUUUCCUUUCAUCUGAAAUUUAUUUACAAAUAUUUGUGUUCAUUUUCCUGGUUAAGCAUGCUAUAUUUAGAAACUCAUGGGGAGACCUUAGACUUUUGUUUAAUCCUUUAUGUUUCAACCUUUAAAUGUUCCAUUCUUAUAGUAUUACUUUAAAUCAAUUCUAAAACUGAACUUUGUUUUGUUACAUAAAUGUUGCAGGCAAAAAUAACACUACUUAUAGAUUUUAC